CCUACGGGUGGCAGCAGUCGGGAAUUUUGGGCAAUGGCCGAAAGGGCUGACCCAGCAACACCGCGUGAGUGAAGAAGGCCUUCGGGUUGUAAAGCUCUGUUGCCCGUGAAGAACGGUGCAGUCAGGAAAUGGACUGUACUUGACGGUAGCGGGAGAGGAAGCUCCGGCUAACUACGUGCCAGCAGCCGCGGUAAUACGUAGGGAGCGAGCGUUGUCCGGAUUUAUUGGGCGUAAAGGGCGUGUAGGCGGCCUGUUAAGUCUGAAGUGAAAAUCCAGGGCUCAACCCUGGAACUGCUUCGGAUACUGAUGGGCUUGAGUGCUCUAGAGGGUAGUGGAAUUGCCGGUGUAGCAGUGAAAUGCGUAGAGAUCGGCAGGAACACCAGUGGCGAAGGCGACUGCCUGGGGAGUAACUGACGCUGAGGCGCGAAAGCUGGGGGAGC
This 440-nucleotide ribosomal RNA is filed under the name uncultured bacterium. Its description in RNAcentral is "bacterial SSU rRNA". It matches the Rfam family "Bacterial small subunit ribosomal RNA", at positions 338 to 769 of the family's 1533-position model. The record is from RNAcentral.